AAGUCGUAACAAGGUAACCGUAGGUGAACCUGCGGUUGGAUCAUUAACAAUUUUUUUCACCGUCCUCCCCUUGCAAAGGGGGUUGGCGUGUGGGAUUAACCCCCUCUUGUGAAUUCAACAGUCGUAUUUUGGGCGUCGGCUCAGGCCUGGUCUGGGCCCGGCGUUCCUUCAAGAAAAAACCCCAUUUGUUUAUUUUUCAUUCUGUCAUGUUGGGAAGCGGACUUUGCAAAAAGACUGCGGACCACCAACAAAAACAAAACAAACAACAACUUUUGACAACGGAUCUCUUGGCUCUC
Molecule: unclassified non-coding RNA, 296 nt
Filed under: fungal sp.
Lineage: Eukaryota; Fungi
Description: partial internal transcribed spacer region
Rfam family: Eukaryotic small subunit ribosomal RNA (bases 1-46)
Source: RNAcentral